RNAcentral lists this ribosomal RNA (653 nucleotides) under Pseudovibrio sp. Pv115. RNAcentral's name for it is "bacterial SSU rRNA". It matches the Rfam family "Bacterial small subunit ribosomal RNA", at positions 60 to 758 of the family's 1533-position model. The record is from RNAcentral. Lineage: Bacteria; Pseudomonadati; Pseudomonadota; Alphaproteobacteria; Hyphomicrobiales; Stappiaceae.
AGUCGAACGGAUCCUUUAAGGAUUAGUGGCAGACGGGUGAGUAACGCGUGGGAAGCUACCUUGUGGUAGGGGACAACAGUUGGAAACGACUGCUAAUACCCUAUGAGCCCUAUGGGGGAAAGAUUUAUCGCCAUGAGAUGUGCCCGCGUUAGAUUAGCUAGUUGGUAAGGUAAUGGCUUACCAAGGCGACGAUCUAUAGCUGGUCUGAGAGGAUGAUCAGCCACACUGGGACUGAGACACGGCCCAGACUCCUACGGGAGGCAGCAGUGGGGAAUAUUGGACAAUGGGGGCAACCCUGAUCCAGCCAUGCCGCGUGUGUGAUGACGGCCUUAGGGUUGUAAAGCACUUUCAGCAGUGAAGAUAAUGACAUUAACUGCAGAAGAAGCCCCGGCUAACUUCGUGCCAGCAGCCGCGGUAAUACGAAGGGGGCUAGCGUUGUUCGGAAUCACUGGGCGUAAAGAGUACGUAGGCGGACUGAUAAGUUAGGGGUGAAAUCCCAAGGCUCAACCUUGGAACUGCCUUUGAUACUGUCAGUCUUGAGAUCGAGAGAGGUGAGUGGAACUCCGAGUGUAGAGGUGAAAUUCGUAGAUAUUCGGAAGAACACCAGUGGCGAAGGCGGCUCACUGGCUCGAUACUGACGCUGAGGUACGAAA